CCUACGGGAGGCAGCAGUGAGGAAUAUUGGUCAAUGGACGAGAGUCUGAACCAGCCAAGUAGCGUGAAGGAUGACUGCCCUAUGGGUUGUAAACUUCUUUUAUAUGGGAAUAAAAUGUUCCACGUGUGGGUUUUUGUAUGUACCAUAUGAAUAAGGAUCGGCUAACUCCGUGCCAGCAGCCGCGGUAAUACGGAGGAUCCGAGCGUUAUCCGGAUUUAUUGGGUUUAAAGGGAGCGUAGGUGGAUUGUUAAGUCAGUUGUGAAAGUUUGCGGCUCAACCGUAAAAUUGCAGUUGAAACUGGCAGUCUUGAGUACAGUAGAGGUGGGCGGAAGUCGUGGUGUAGCGGUGAAAUGCUUAGAGAUCACGAAGAACUCCGAUUGCGAAGGCAGCUCACUGGACUGCAACUGACACUGAGGCUCGAAAGUGUGGGUAUCAAACAGGAUUAGAUACCCCUGUAGUC
This 460-nucleotide ribosomal RNA is filed under the name uncultured bacterium. RNAcentral describes it as "partial 16S ribosomal RNA". It matches the Rfam family "Bacterial small subunit ribosomal RNA", at positions 338 to 795 of the family's 1533-position model. The record is from RNAcentral.